This 705-nucleotide ribosomal RNA is filed under the name Enterobacter roggenkampii. Its description in RNAcentral is "partial 23S ribosomal RNA". It matches the Rfam family "Bacterial large subunit ribosomal RNA", at positions 2238 to 2925 of the family's 2925-position model. RNAcentral also lists the same sequence under 1 other name. The record is from RNAcentral. Lineage: Bacteria; Pseudomonadati; Pseudomonadota; Gammaproteobacteria; Enterobacterales; Enterobacteriaceae.
AUCCGGGUUGCGGACAGUGUCUGGUGGGUAGUUUGACUGGGGCGGUCUCCUCCCAAAGAGUAACGGAGGAGCACGAAGGUUAGCUAAUCCUGGUCGGACAUCAGGAGGUUAGUGCAAUGGCAUAAGCUAGCUUGACUGCGAGAGUGACGGCUCGAGCAGGUGCGAAAGCAGGUCAUAGUGAUCCGGUGGUUCUGAAUGGAAGGGCCAUCGCUCAACGGAUAAAAGGUACUCCGGGGAUAACAGGCUGAUACCGCCCAAGAGUUCAUAUCGACGGCGGUGUUUGGCACCUCGAUGUCGGCUCAUCACAUCCUGGGGCUGAAGUAGGUCCCAAGGGUAUGGCUGUUCGCCAUUUAAAGUGGUACGCGAGCUGGGUUUAGAACGUCGUGAGACAGUUCGGUCCCUAUCUGCCGUGGGCGCUGGAGAAUUGAGGGGGGCUGCUCCUAGUACGAGAGGACCGGAGUGGACGCAUCACUGGUGUUCGGGUUGUCAUGCCAAUGGCACUGCCCGGUAGCUAAAUGCGGAAAAGAUAAGUGCUGAAAGCAUCUAAGCACGAAACUUGCCCCGAGAUGAGUUCUCCCUGAGACUUUAAGUCUCCUGAAGGAACGUUGAAGACGACGACGUUGAUAGGUCGGGUGUGUAAGCGCAGCGAUGCGUUGAGCUAACCGAUACUAAUGAACCGUGAGGCUUAACCUUACAACGCCGAAG